UCCUUGGUGGCUCAGAGGGUAAAGCGUCUGCCUGCAGUGCAGGAGACCCAAGUUCGAACCCUGGGUUGGGAA
Ovis aries (sheep) is the source of this 72-nucleotide transfer RNA. It matches the Rfam family "tRNA". Rfam says of the family: Transfer RNA (tRNA) molecules are approximately 80 nucleotides in length. Their secondary structure includes four short double-helical elements and three loops (D, anti-codon, and T loops). Further hydrogen bonds mediate the characteristic L-shaped molecular structure. tRNAs have two regions of fundamental functional importance: the anti-codon, which is responsible for specific mRNA codon recognition, and the 3' end, to which the tRNAs corresponding amino acid is attached (by aminoacyl-tRNA synthetases). tRNAs cope with the degeneracy of the genetic code in two manners: having more than one tRNA (with a specific anti-codon) for a particular amino acid; and 'wobble' base-pairing, i.e. permitting non-standard base-pairing at the 3rd anti-codon position. NCBI's taxonomy places the organism in Eukaryota, Metazoa, Chordata, Mammalia, Artiodactyla, Bovidae. The record is from Rfam.